Molecule: ribosomal RNA, 350 nt
Filed under: uncultured bacterium
Lineage: Bacteria
Description: bacterial SSU rRNA
Rfam family: Bacterial small subunit ribosomal RNA
Source: RNAcentral
ACUCCUACGGGAGGCAGCAGUGGGGAAUAUUGCACAAUGGGCGCAAGCCUGAUGCAGCCAUGCCGCGUGUAUGAAGAAGGCCUUCGGGUUGUAAAGUAACUUUCAGCAGUGAGGAAGGAUGGGUAUGUUAAUAGCAUAUUCAUUUGACGUUAGCUGCAGAAGAAGCACCGGCUAACUCCGUGCCAGCAGCCGCGGUAAUACGGAGGGUGCGAGCGUUAAUCGGAAUUACUGGGCGUAAAGCGCAUGUCAGGUGGUUUGUUAAGUCAGAUGUGAAAGCCCGGGGCUCAACCUCGGAAUUGCAUUUGAAACUGGCAAACUAGAGUACUGUAGAGGGGGUAGAAUUUCAGGUG